Molecule: non-coding RNA, 30 nt
Filed under: Mus musculus (house mouse)
Lineage: Eukaryota; Metazoa; Chordata; Mammalia; Rodentia; Muridae
Source: RNAcentral
UUGAUGCUUCAAGGUCUGGAUUUUAUCCUC